This 253-nucleotide ribosomal RNA is filed under the name uncultured bacterium. RNAcentral describes it as "partial 16S ribosomal RNA". It matches the Rfam family "Bacterial small subunit ribosomal RNA", at positions 524 to 776 of the family's 1533-position model. The record is from RNAcentral.
UACAGAGGUCUCAAGCGUUGUUCGGAUUCAUUGGGCGUAAAGGGUGCGUAGGCGGCGCGGUAAGUCGGGUGUGAAAUCUCGGGGCUUAACUCCGAAACUGCAUUCGAUACUGCCGUGCUUGAGGACUGGAGAGGAGACUGGAAUUUACGGUGUAGCGGUGAAAUGCGUAGAUAUCGUAAGGAAGACCAGUGGCGAAGGCGGGUCUCUGGACAGUUCCUGACGCUCAGGCACGAAGGCCAGGGGAGCAAACGGG